GUAAACGAUGAUAACUAGCUGUCCGGGCACUUGGUGCUUGGGUGGCGCAGCUAACGCAUUAAGUUAUCCGCCUGGGGAGUACGGUCGCAAGAUUAAAACUCAAAGGAAUUGACGGGGGCCUGCACAAGCGAUGGAGCAUGUGGUUUAAUUCGAAGCAACGCGCAGAACCUUACCAGCGUUUGACAUGUCCGGACGAUUUCCAGAGAUGGAUCUCUUCCCUUCGGGGACUGGAACACAGGUGCUGCAUGGCUGUCGUCAGCUCGUGUCGUGAGAUGUUGGGUUAAGUCCCGCAACGAGCGCAACCCUCGCCUUUAGUUACCAUCAUUUAGUUGGGGACUCUAAAGGAACCGCCGGUGAUAAGCCGGAGGAAGGUGGGGAUGACGUCAAGUCCUCAUGGCCCUUACGCGCUGGGCUACACACGUGCUACAAUGGCGGUGACAGUGGGCAGCAAACUCGCGAGAGUGCGCUAAUCUCCAAAAGCCGUCUCAGUUCGGAUUGUUCUCUGCAACUCGAGAGCAUGAAGGCGGAAUC
RNAcentral lists this ribosomal RNA (531 nucleotides) under uncultured bacterium. RNAcentral describes it as "bacterial SSU rRNA". It matches the Rfam family "Bacterial small subunit ribosomal RNA", at positions 802 to 1333 of the family's 1533-position model. The record is from RNAcentral.